Molecule: long non-coding RNA, 568 nt
Filed under: Ananas comosus (pineapple)
Lineage: Eukaryota; Viridiplantae; Streptophyta; Magnoliopsida; Poales; Bromeliaceae
Description: long non-coding RNA (ACOM_LNC005457)
Source: RNAcentral
UUAGAGUUGGACAGAGGACGCCCUGUGCGUGUGGCGGGUCUAUGCGUAUCUCGAACAAGGUUUAUAAAAAAAAUAAAAAAAAAUAUACGCUUUUCCGCAAACUUUGUUUUGAAAUAAAAGGGAUUUCUCAAAUUUAGCUUUUCAAAAAGGCUCCGGGGCGUGAUAAAUUAAGUUGAUAUUAGAGCCAAUUACUAGCUGGAAGUAUGAGAAGAGUCUCGACUGAGCCAUAAUUAUACAACGGGAAGAACAAGGCUUUCAUACUGUUGACUGUUGUGAGUGGAGCACAGCUCACCACAGGAUCAAUUUAGGCUAACGAGACGAGUCUCAUAUUGCCUGAUACUUGUGUAUCUAAGACUGAUGAGGACGUCAGGGCUUAAAGGGGGGAGAAUGUGAGACCUCGAAUAGUUUUACAUAUAAGAUAUAAUAUGACUAAAACUCUUAACCUAGCUUAAGUAUUUUGGGCGAUGGCUAGACCCAAGAGGUUGAAAGAGUUAAGCGUGCUAGAACGGGAGUAGUCCAGUUAAGAGACUUAAGCGUGCUAGGACGGGAGUAGUCCUAAGAUGGGUGA